RNAcentral lists this unclassified non-coding RNA (244 nucleotides) under plant metagenome. Its description in RNAcentral is "partial contains small subunit ribosomal RNA, internal transcribed spacer 1, and 5.8S ribosomal RNA". The record is from RNAcentral.
UUUCCGUAGGUGAACCAGCGGAGGGAUCAUUACCGAGUUUACAACUCCCAAACCCAAUGUGAACCAUACCAAACUGUUGCCUCGGCGGGGUCACGCCCCGGGUGCGUCGCAGCCCCGGAACCAGGCGCCCGCCGGAGGGACCAACCAAACUCUUUCUGUAGUCCCCUCGCGGACGUUAUUUUUACAGCUCUGAGCAAAAAUUCAAAAUGAAUCAAAACUUUCAACAACGGAUCUCUUGGUUCUG